AGCAGCCGCCGCGGUAAUACGAAGGGGGCUAGCGUUGCUCGGAAUUACUGGGCGUAAAGGGAGCGUAGGCGGGUCGUUUAGUCAGAGGUGAAAUCCCGGGGUUCAACCUCGGUACUGCCUUUGAUACUGGCGACCUUGAGUAUGGGAGAGGUGAGUGGAACUCCGAGUGUAGAGGUGAAAUUCGUAGAUAUUCGGAAGAACACCAGUGGCGAAAGCGACUCACUGGCCCAUUACUGACGCUGAGGCUCGAAAGCGUGGGGAGCAAACAGGAUUAGAUACCCCCGUAGUCCCUGUCUCUUAUAA
RNAcentral lists this ribosomal RNA (303 nucleotides) under uncultured bacterium. RNAcentral describes it as "partial 16S ribosomal RNA". It matches the Rfam family "Bacterial small subunit ribosomal RNA", at positions 507 to 809 of the family's 1533-position model. The record is from RNAcentral.